Molecule: long non-coding RNA, 836 nt
Filed under: Anser brachyrhynchus (Pink-footed goose)
Lineage: Eukaryota; Metazoa; Chordata; Aves; Anseriformes; Anatidae
Description: lncRNA (ENSABRG00000003606.1)
Source: RNAcentral
CUUGUGUACAAAUUAUCUUUUUUUUUUUUUUUCCUUCACCUUCUGCUUUAUCAGAAUUUAGGGUCUGCAUCUUAAAGUGACAGGAUAAUGUUUCAGCUGGAAAUGAGGAGUGAGUGAAGUAAACUUACAGAUUUUGCCCCUCUCAUACUCACUUCCACAUGGAACUCUUGAAGUGACACGAUAACAGGCAAGCUGGAAGACUGUGUGGUAGAAGAGCUUGCAGCCUAUGAUUAGUCAACCACGUUCUAGGAAUACGAGUCCUUAGGGGACAGUCUUGCCAAUCCCAAAGCUGAAAGACAAGGUGCCUGAACAGGACCCCUCUGAGCUGACAGUGGGACAAACAGGUUCCAAGGGAUUAUUUGAUGAGAAGGAACUGUGCUGAUCCUCAUCUACUAAGGCAGUGGUAACGCAGGAUCUGGCUGGUAACAAGUCCUCAUCUCUGCUGAUAAUCACACUAUCUCUUGCCCACAGUACAUCUUUGUCUGAGGAACUUGGGAGAAAAUUAGAGCGAAACAGAUUUACUGGGCCGCAGGGUCUAAUUUACUGUAUUCACAGUCAGACAUUCAGCAAGAAAUAAGUGAGGGAAUAAGUGAGCAGAUUUUCUUCCUGCUUUCCUACUUGAGAAUAGAGUUCUAUGCUUUGGGUGACACCCACUGCAGCUUCACAGGAAGACAAAAUUAGUCAUCAAUAGUCAAGCUGAAAAUCUAAAUUGAUGUUCUCUAGAGAUCAAGGGUAAGGCCAGACUUUCCUUGUGGGAUACAGAUGAUGAAAAACUUCGGUUUCUCUUCUGUUGUACUCGAGUGAGUGGAACGAAUCAAGGUAAAAUUAUACAAAAC